UGCGAUGAUGAUGAGUCAAAUUAAUCUCGUUAAUCUGAGAUUAAUAUGAGGAAAAAUUCUCUAUGACCCAAAAAAAAAAAAAUUCUAUUUGUUCUGGUUUUGC
RNAcentral lists this small nucleolar RNA (103 nucleotides) under Citrus sinensis (sweet orange). RNAcentral describes it as "Small nucleolar RNA U30". It matches the Rfam family "Small nucleolar RNA U30". The record is from Rfam by way of RNAcentral. Lineage: Eukaryota; Viridiplantae; Streptophyta; Magnoliopsida; Sapindales; Rutaceae.